UGGGGAAUAUUGGACAAUGGGCGGAAGCCUGAUCCAGCAAUACCGCGUGUGUGAAGAAGGCCUGAGGGUUGUAAAGCACUUUCAAUAGGGAGGAAAAAGGGUUGGUUAAUACCUAGCCCAUUGACAUUACCUAUAGAAGAAGCACCGGCUAACUCCGUGCCAGCAGCCGCGGUAAUACGGAGGGUGCGAGCGUUAAUCGGAAUUACUGGGCGUAAAGCGUGCGUAGGCGGCUGGUUAAGUUAGGUGUGAAAGCCCCGGGCUUAACCUGGGAACUGCAUUUAAAACUGGCCAGCUAGAGUUAGGUAGAGGGGAGUGGAAUUUCAGGUGUAGCGGUGAAAUGCGUAGAUAUCUGAAGGAACACCAGUGGCGAAGGCGGCUCCCUGGACCCAAACUGACGCUGAGGUACGAAAGCGUGGGUAGCAAACAGG
This 428-nucleotide ribosomal RNA is filed under the name uncultured bacterium. RNAcentral describes it as "bacterial SSU rRNA". It matches the Rfam family "Bacterial small subunit ribosomal RNA", at positions 355 to 776 of the family's 1533-position model. The record is from RNAcentral.